Pseudophryne corroboree (corroboree frog) is the source of this 1115-nucleotide long non-coding RNA. RefSeq lists it as uncharacterized. The record is from RefSeq and is a predicted model, not a curated record. The transcript has 3 exons. Lineage: Eukaryota; Metazoa; Chordata; Amphibia; Anura; Myobatrachidae.
CGAGGAGAAGAGCGGCGCCGGUCUGCAGGGUCUGGAAACAGGAGCGGGGUACAUGCUGCAAGCUUCCCACAUGGAUGCACUGCUUCCGAGAAGCUACAGAUGUGAAGAAGACCAACCAGAAUACAAUGCAAAGGCUGAGGGAAGGAAUGUACCCAUGAUUCAACAUUUUUACCCAGGUUACACUUCACCAAAGCAACUCCUAUGCUUGAGACUUCAGGGAGAAGAGCAGCCAUUACACUGUCAGCUGCCUUGUGGAAUAGUUUUUUUAGGGCAAUCUGCGUUUUUACAUAUAUAUCAUAUUUUUUUACACUGACUACAAUAAUGGAGCCUUUUUCUGACCAGAUUGUGAUGUUCAUCAAGUUGAAUCCCGGCCGCCCACAAUCUGAGCAUGGGUCACUUUCCGACCGGAGGCAUGUCAAAUCCAUUUCAAAUUGAAUAUGUUGAAUUCAGUGCUCGGGAAGGAGGGUAUCGACAGUCGAAUGCCGUCGAAGCGGAAAACUGUCGAAUCCACUACGGGUUUUGAAACCAAUUUAAUGGUGAUGUUUACAAAAGCGACAGAAUAUUGCGGCAGAUUACAAUUUAAAUUCUGAUACACAAUACUAAUCUAUAAGAAACUAAUACCAUGUCAGUCACAUUAACUUAAUUCAUUGUCAGAUAAUUAUUUUAAAAUGUAAUAAAUAGAAACAGUAUAUUUUAUGUGUAAUACUGCGGCACAUAAAAAUGUAUAAUCACCAUAUGCAAUUAUGACUUUUUUUAUUUUGUGAUAAAAAUUCAGUGAUCAUGUGAGGCGUAGCAAACAUUGCAGCCAGUGGGUGGGUACACUGACAUUACACACGUUAAUAGUAGAGUGCCGGUCCCUCUCUCUACUCACUUAAUUUAGCCAUUCCUUCUUCACACAGAUGAAGCAAGCAACACCGAUCCUACUUCCUCCCACCCAUUUUUCAUGAGUGCUUCAUUCACCACAGCUUAGUCUUCGCUGUGAUACUGUGAGGUGAAUUGCUGGCCUAGUCCAAUUCUGAUGUGAUCUGCUAUAAAAAAGGAAGAUAGGAUUCUUUUGCUGAGGCGAUAGAGCAGGGAUGGGGAACCUUCGGCCCUCCUGCUGUUGUUGAACUACA